This 1508-nucleotide unclassified non-coding RNA is filed under the name Neodiprion lecontei (redheaded pine sawfly). RNAcentral's name for it is "mIP18 family protein galla-1, transcript variant X4". Lineage: Eukaryota; Metazoa; Arthropoda; Insecta; Hymenoptera; Diprionidae. The record is from RNAcentral.
UCGUGACUCGAAGUUAAUCAGUGCAGCUGAGUGCGACCAGUGUUGAUAGUUCAUGAUAGCUCGAGUAGUUUUGGAUGAUUUGGACCACUUGGACUUUGGAAAUCUGUACACACCACACGAAAUUGGUUUGAUUUCGUAACAGUACAUAUACCUAUAUGUGUUAAUUUUUUUUUAUUUUUCGUUGGUACGUGAAAAAUAAGUAUGUUAUCGUUUUUUCGUAAAUUGUCGUUAUCGGACAAAGUUAAGGAAGGCAUACUGCCGUACGGAGUUAUGGCCACCCCAGAAGAUCUUUUGAAAGCUAAAAACCAGAGCAGUUUGUUAUUGAAAGAUGAAAAUGAGCUGAGGGAAACUAUUUAUGAUUUGCUCCGAACAAUAAAAGACCCCGAAAAACCCCAAACCCUUGAAGAACUGGAUGUUGUGUAUGAGGAUUGCGUCUACAUAAAUAAACCGACAACAAAAGGUGUCUCAGUGAUUCGAAUUGAGUUUAACCCAACAGUACCACACUGUUCCUUAGCUACGCUCAUCGGUCUCUGUAUCCGUGUUAAAUUAGAACGUCACUUAAUCGCUUCGUUCAAACUGGAUAUCUAUAUCAAGGAAGGGGCUCAUGCAACAGAAGAUGAAAUUAACAAACAAAUAAACGACAAAGAACGAAUCGCCGCUGCAAUGGAAAACCCUAACUUGAGAGAUCUUGUUGAGAAGUGUAUUCAAGAGGAAGAAUGACCUGAUUAAAUUAUAUCGAUUUUACAUACCUGACUGGCUUUGCAUUUGGAAUGUCUUCCGCAUAUAUGCUGGGAUGAUUGUUGGGGAUCUUUUGGUGUGUUUGAAAAUUCGAUGUUCAUCUCACAAAAAUAGUUAAUUCCUUCGAUUGGUGAGACAACUAUUUCUUCAUUCAAAUCUUUCCAGGUAUAUUCUGGUGGUCCCAGAGACGUAUCGUGUUGUCCAUAGAUGACGUUGCACAGAUUUGGAGGGACUCUGAAGCUGCUAUGUCGACUAUCAAAUCUGUAUGAUCUUUCGUCGAAUGAUGAUCUACUCGAACUAACAGAUAAUUUAAUGUAAAGUCAUUUGUGCAGUUUGAACAAUGACAAUCAGGUACCUGAUUCCACCAUGUCGUACAUGAAUAAUUGAUGCAUUGGAGUCAGAGGACUGCUACUGGCCAUGCAAAUUACUGAUCUGUAAAAAUAUUACACAUACAUGUGUGUAAUUUUCAGAACUUUUUAUAUAAAAAGAAUAAUUUUUUUCUGGCCUCUAAUCAGAGGUUUUUUGUCAAAUUUAAAGUACAAGCAGUCAAGGCACGACUCACCCCAUGCUAACAACGUGCGUUAUCGGAACUGUAUAAUAAACCGAGUGUGCCAAGGCUAAUGGAACUUCCAAGUCAGGAAAUACUCGCCAAACUUUAACACUUUUGUCCGCUCCCACAGAUACAACAAGCCGUGAUAUGGUCGAUGACCAUAUUUUUGCUACUGGUCCAUUGUGAGCCUACGAUAUGAAAAUAUAAUUAUCAAAACGAA